Molecule: unclassified non-coding RNA, 199 nt
Filed under: fungal sp.
Lineage: Eukaryota; Fungi
Description: partial internal transcribed spacer region
Rfam family: Eukaryotic small subunit ribosomal RNA (bases 1-46)
Source: RNAcentral
AAGUCGUAACAAGGUAACCGUAGGUGAACCUGCGGUUGGAUCAUUAUGGGAGUGCCAUACAAUUUACGAAUUGUGUGCUUCGACCCUGUGCAUUUUUAGUACUUGAUACGUGAUUGAGAGUGCUCGUACGUGCUCACGACAAUACAAUAAACUGAGAAGCAAAUCAAAACAACUUUUGACAACGGAUCUCUUGGCUCUC